GAGUAAUGCCUAGGAAAUUGCCCUGAUGUGGGGGAUAACCAUUGGAAACGAUGGCUAAUACCGCAUGAUGCCUACGGGCCAAAGAGGGGGACCUUCGGGCCUCUCGCGUCAGGAUAUGCCUAGGUGGGAUUAGCUAGUUGGUGAGGUAAGGGCUCACCAAGGCGACGAUCCCUAGCUGGUCUGAGAGGAUGAUCAGCCACACUGGAACUGAGACACGGUCCAGACUCCUACGGGAGGCAGCAGUGGGGAAUAUUGCACAAUGGGCGCAAGCCUGAUGCAGCCAUGCCGCGUGUGUGAAGAAGGCCUUCGGGUUGUAAAGCACUUUCAGUCGUGAGGAAGGUAGUGUAGUUAAUAGCUGCAUUAUUUGACGUUAGCGACAGAAGAAGCACCGGCUAACUCCGUGCCAGCAGCCGCGGUAAUACGGAGGGUGCGAGCGUUAAUCGGAAUUACUGGGCGUAAAGCGCAUGCAGGUGGUUUGUUAAGUCAGAUGUGAAAGCCCGGGGCUCAACCUCGGAAUUGCAUUUGAAACUGGCAGACUAGAGUACUGUAGAGGGGGGUAGAAUUUCAGGUGUAGCGGUGAAAUGCGUAGAGAUCUGAAGGAAUACCGGUGGCGAAGGCGGCCCCCUGGACAGAUACUGACACUCAGAUGCGAAAGCGUGGGGAGCAAACAGGAUUAGAUACCCUGGUAGUCCACGCCGUAAACGAUGUCUACUUGGAGGUUGUGGCCUUGAGCCGUGGCUUUCGGAGCUAACGCGUUAAGUAGACCGCCUGGGGAGUACGGUCGCAAGAUUAAAACUCAAAUGAAUUGACGGGGGCCCGCACAAGCGGUGGAGCAUGUGGUUUAAUUCGAUGCAACGCGAAGAACCUUACCUACUCUUGACAUCCAGAGAACUUUCCAGAGAUGGAUUGGUGCCUUCGGGAACUCUGAGACAGGUGCUGCAUGGCUGUCGUCAGCUCGUGUUGUGAAAUGUUGGGUUAAGUCCCGCAACGAGCGCAACCCUUAUCCUUGUUUGCCAGCGAGUAAUGUCGGGAACUCCAGGGAGACUGCCGGUGAUAAACCGGAGGAAGGUGGGGACGACGUCAAGUCAUCAUGGCCCUUACGAGUAGGGCUACACACGUGCUACAAUGGCGCAUACAGAGGGCAGCCAACUUGCGAAAGUGAGCGAAUCCCAAAAAGUGCGUCGUAGUCCGGAUUGGAGUCUGCAACUCGACUCCAUGAAGUCGGAAUCGCUAGUAAUCGUGGAUCAGAAUGCCACGGUGAAUACGUUCCCGGGCCUUGUACACACCGCCCGUCACACCAUGGGAGUGGGCUGCAAAAGAAGUAGGUAGUUUAACCUUCGGGGGGACGCUUACCACUUUGUGGUUCAUGACUGGGGUGAAGUCGUAACAAGGUAGCGCUAGGGGAACCUGGCGCUGGAUCACCUCCUUAAACGAUGAU
RNAcentral lists this ribosomal RNA (1438 nucleotides) under Vibrio parahaemolyticus. RNAcentral's name for it is "bacterial SSU rRNA". It matches the Rfam family "Bacterial small subunit ribosomal RNA". The record is from RNAcentral. Lineage: Bacteria; Pseudomonadati; Pseudomonadota; Gammaproteobacteria; Vibrionales; Vibrionaceae.